RNAcentral lists this small nucleolar RNA (227 nucleotides) under Tetranychus urticae (two-spotted spider mite). Its description in RNAcentral is "snoRNA tetur16g03848". The record is from RNAcentral. Lineage: Eukaryota; Metazoa; Arthropoda; Arachnida; Trombidiformes; Tetranychidae.
UUUUUUGGAGUGCUGACAUCUAUGUGAACUACAGGGGGAAAUAAUUAAAUUUACAGUUUAAACAAUUAGUCCACUCUAGUGAUUCCCCUUUAGCCUUUCUAGCCUUUCUCCCUUCAGGGGGGAGUCAUUGGAGUGGACUAAUUGUUUAACCUGGAAAAUUUAAUUAUUUCCCCCUGUAGUUCACAUAGAUGUCAGCACUCCAAAAAAACAAAAAACUCAGGGAAUUA